RNAcentral lists this non-coding RNA (20 nucleotides) under Arabidopsis thaliana (thale cress). Lineage: Eukaryota; Viridiplantae; Streptophyta; Magnoliopsida; Brassicales; Brassicaceae. The record is from RNAcentral.
UUAACUAUGGCUCGAGAUUA